This 520-nucleotide unclassified non-coding RNA is filed under the name uncultured Glomus. RNAcentral's name for it is "SSU rRNA". It matches the Rfam family "Eukaryotic small subunit ribosomal RNA", at positions 569 to 1092 of the family's 1831-position model. The record is from RNAcentral. Lineage: Eukaryota; Fungi; Glomeromycota; Glomeromycetes; Glomerales; Glomeraceae.
AGCAGCCGCGGUAAUUCCAGCCCCAAUAGCGUAUAUUAAAGUUGCUGCAGUUAAAAAGCUCGUAGUUGAAUUUCGGGACUAAUAUGUCGGUCGUGCCUCGGUACGUACUGGUUUAUUGGUUUCUCCUUUCUGAAGAACCAUGAUGUCAUUUAUUUGGUGUCGUGGGGAAUCAGGACUGUUACUUUGAAAAAAUUAGAGUGUUUAAAGCAGGCUCACGCUUGAAUACAUUAGCAUGGAAUAAUGAAAUAGGACGUUUGAUUCUAUUUUGUUGGUUUCUAGGAUCGACGUAAUGAUUAAUAGGGAUAGUUGGGGGCAUUAGUAUUCAAUUGUCAGAGGUGAAAUUCUUGGAUUUAUUGAAGACUAACUACUGCGAAAGCAUUUGCCAAGGAUGUUUUCAUUAAUCAAGAACGAAAGUUAGGGGAUCGAAGACGAUCAGAUACCGUCGUAGUCUUAACCAUAAACUAUGCCGACUAGGGAUCGGAUGAUGUUAAUUUUUUAAUGACUCAUUCGGCGCCUUACG